GUAUUGAAAUAUCCCUCGGCCAUAGAAGAGUGGUGGAGAGAAUGUUGCAAUGUCCUUCACUUUAGUCUGAAUCUUCCUAAGUACCAACGUAUAGUUCCCUGGUCUGGCCUCCAGUGCUUCAGAAGCACCACCAACCACCACAACACAUGAAUGACCAGGGCCCAUUUUUGUCAAUAUGUGUUUCAAACUUUCUCUUGAUGCUGGACAUAUACCCAUGGCCAACAAAAAUUCACGAAGAAAUGGAAUCUUAAACUGGAUGUUCAGGGUUAUUAGAUGCACAGUAAGACCCGGAAAAUGUUUUGAAAAUCCAGUUGCUUCCGAGGCGAAAUUCCCCGUUGAUCCAACAGCCAUAACGCCAUGAGGAUGGCAGCCAAAGAGGUAAUUCUUUGAUUCAUCUAGCUCAUGCGUUUUUAUUAAACGUAAUGGAAAGUAUUCGGCGCAAUAAUUCCAUACUUUUAACCGCCUCAUAGCGGGAAAAUAUCGCCCCCCUCUGUGAGGUGUAUCCUUGUCAAUCAUGUAAAUCCAAGCUAGAUACAACAGCAAAAAUAUCCUCGUGAAGAGAUUAAUGUACAAUAGGAAAAGACAAACUAGUACACAAAAUAUAUGACCAAACAUAAAUGUCGAGCCAACAAUCCAAACAAGAAAAGUUUGUCGACGUCUUUUUACAGGUAUUUUAAGCGGUGCCCACUCGAUUCCAAAAGCUUUCGCCAUAGUGGAGGUUUUGCAAGACUAGCAAGUAUUUGUUGAAUGAAAACAACUUAACAAAAUGGAAGCAGUUCAAGGUCCAAAGUGUAAAACAUUCACAUGUAAUUACAGGAAGUCACAAGACUGCAUCAAGAGCAGUGGCGUGCCGUCACGCAAGCGUAGGAAAUUCCAAUAAUCUACGAAUUUU
Xenia sp. Carnegie-2017 is the source of this 892-nucleotide long non-coding RNA. RefSeq lists it as uncharacterized. Lineage: Eukaryota; Metazoa; Cnidaria; Anthozoa; Malacalcyonacea; Xeniidae. The record is from RefSeq and is a predicted model, not a curated record. The transcript is spliced from 3 exons.